UACACCAUUAGGUGUAGUGGUAGGAGAGCGUUCUAAGGGCGUUGAAGGUCGAUCGUGAGGACGGCUGGAGCGCUUAGAAGUGAGAAUGCCGGUAUGAGUAGCGAAAGACAGGUGAGAAUCCUGUCCACCGUAUGACUAAGGUUUCCUGGGGAAGGCUCGUCCGCCCAGGGUUAGUCGGGACCUAAGCCGAGGCCGAUAGGCGUAGGCGAUGGACAACAGGUUGAUAUUCCUGUACCAGUUGUUUUUGUUUGAGCAAUGGAGGGACGCAGUAGGCUAAGGAAUGCAUGCGAUUGGAAGUGCAUGUCCAAGCAAUGAGUCUUGAGUAGAGUUAAAUGCUUUACUCUCUAAGGACAAGUUGUGACGGGGAGCGAAAUAAUAGUAGCGAAGUUCCUGAUGUCACACUGCCAAGAAAAGCUUCUAGUGAGAAAACAACUGCCCGUACCGUAAACCGACACAGGUAGUCGAGGAGAGUAU
This 474-nucleotide ribosomal RNA is filed under the name Staphylococcus aureus. RNAcentral's name for it is "partial 23S ribosomal RNA". It matches the Rfam family "Bacterial large subunit ribosomal RNA", at positions 1208 to 1679 of the family's 2925-position model. Lineage: Bacteria; Bacillati; Bacillota; Bacilli; Caryophanales; Staphylococcaceae. The record is from RNAcentral.